This 253-nucleotide ribosomal RNA is filed under the name uncultured bacterium. RNAcentral's name for it is "partial 16S ribosomal RNA". It matches the Rfam family "Bacterial small subunit ribosomal RNA", at positions 524 to 776 of the family's 1533-position model. The record is from RNAcentral.
UACGUAGGUGGCGAGCGUUGUCCGGAUUUACUGGGCGUAAAGGGCGCGUAGGCGGCCUGCUAAGUCGGAUGUGAAAUCCCUCGGCUCAACCGAGGAACUGCAUCCGAUACUGGCGGGCUUGAAUCCGGGAGAGGGAUGUGGAAUUCCAGGUGUAGCGGUGAAAUGCGUAGAUAUCUGGAGGAACACCGGUGGCGAAGGCGGCAUCCUGGACCGGUAUUGACGCUGAGGCGCGAAAGCGUGGGGAGCAAACAGG